UUCAGGGAUGGGAAUCGAACCCACAGUGUUCCGCUUACCAGGCAGAUGCCAUGUCCACUAAGCUCAUACUUCAUCCCUAA
This is a non-coding RNA of Cordylochernes scorpioides, 80 nucleotides long. The record is from the annotation of a GenBank genome assembly. NCBI's taxonomy places the organism in Eukaryota, Metazoa, Arthropoda, Arachnida, Pseudoscorpiones, Chernetidae.